AUGAUAUUUAAUAUUUAUAUUUUUUGUAUGUGUGUACAUUUCAGAAUGACAAAGCCAAAAUUCAGGCCUUGCCCAAGCUGCCAAGUCCGUCAGCAGGCCAACCGCAAAACAUGCAGUGCUUGUUUUGCCACACUGCCAAGCAAGCGGUUAUUAAAAACUGCAAAAAUUAAUGAUGACUGGGGCCAGAGGGUCGUCAAAAACAAAAAUGCAUCUCGGGUGGUGGCCUCUGCCCAAAUAGCUGUCCAAAAACUUUCUGCCUUGGGCUAUAUGCCCAUAUUAUUUAUCAGCCAGAGGCACAAGGGCACAGGCAAGUUGAUGGCAGAUGUAGUCACGCAUCUGCCACCGACGCAAAACAACACACGUUUCUUAACCAGCAUGAAGAGGGCAUAUGACUUCAUAAUCAAACUGGAUGAUGUGCCCCAGCCCCAGCCCCAGCAAGACCAGCCCCUGCCCCUAGACCGGCUAAUCCCACAAGACCAGCCCCUAGACCAGCCCCUGCCCCUAGACCAGCCCCAGCAAGACCAGCCCCUGCCCCUAGACCAGCUAAUCCCACAAGACCAGCCUACCCCAACAGACCAGCAAAUUAUUACACUUGAACUAUUUACGAUCGACUCUCAGGCUCAGCAGCAUGUGGAGCCUCUACCACCCAGGAAAAGACAAACCCCACUAUCCACCCCGCGCCUACCAUCCACCCCAGGCCAAGGCAGACGAGCCCCACCAUCCAUCCAACCUCAACUAAAGAAAAGACAAACCACAGGUAAAGGAGCCACACAGGCCCCACCCUCUACCCUGGCCAAAAAAAGAAGAAAAACACAAAAAGCAAGUAGACAUUCUUUGAACCCCAUGUGUAUAUUUGUUUCUAUUCUUUGCACCCCAUGUGUAUAUCAGCAGCCAUGUGUUGGGUGUAAAGGUGUUUUUGCAUGUAGCCCCCUUUAA
Cyprinus carpio carpio is the source of this 936-nucleotide long non-coding RNA. The record is from Ensembl. Lineage: Eukaryota; Metazoa; Chordata; Actinopteri; Cypriniformes; Cyprinidae.